AAUCAACGCUGGCGGCGUGCCUAACACAUGCAAGUCGAACGCGAAAGCCCCGCAAGGGGCAAGUAGAGUGGCAAACGGGCGAGUAACACGUGGGUGACCUGCCUUCGAGCGGGGGAUAACGUCCCGAAAGGGACGCUAAUACCGCAUAACAUCCUGCCUUUGAAGAGGUGGAGAUCAAAGCUGGGGAUCGCAAGACCCGGCACUUGAAGAGGGGCCCGCGCCUGAUUAGCUAGUUGGGGGGUAAUGGCCUACCAAGGCAACGAUCAGUAUCCGGCCUGAGAGGGCGGACGGACACACUGGGACUGAGACACGGCCCAGACUCCUACGGGAGGCAGCAGUGGGGAAUUGUUCGCAAUGGGCGCAAGCCUGACGACGCAACGCCGCGUGGAGGAUGAAGAUUUUCGGAUCGUAAACUCCUGUCGAAUGGGAACGAAAGAUAACGGGUUAACAGCCCGUAAUCCUGACGGUACCGUU
Molecule: ribosomal RNA, 474 nt
Filed under: uncultured bacterium
Lineage: Bacteria
Description: bacterial SSU rRNA
Rfam family: Bacterial small subunit ribosomal RNA
Source: RNAcentral